This 65-nucleotide transfer RNA is filed under the name Salinator rhamphidia. RNAcentral describes it as "tRNA-His". Lineage: Eukaryota; Metazoa; Mollusca; Gastropoda; Amphibolidae. The record is from RNAcentral.
CCAUUUGUAGGUUAAUAAAACCGAAGACUUGUGGCGUCUUAAAUUUCUUUUUAUGAACGAGUGGU